AUGAAUGUGGCACUCAUCUUAAGAUGGGUCUGGCGCAUCCUACGCGGCGAGGGAGGAUUAUGGCUACAGCUCAUUCAAGCGAAAUACCUGAGGGGAGACCCGCUCUUAGCAUGUAACCGGUCGGAAGGAUCCCAAUUCUGGAGAGCCAUUCAAAGGAUCAAGGAGGACAUCCGCCUAGGGGUGUCCUUCUCCUUAGGGAAUGGGAAAGGGAUCCAGCUCUGGUUGGAUCCCUGGCUGAAUACUGAACCCCUUCGAGUGUCCUUUCCGGGCCUAUUCUCGAUUUGUUCGGAUCCGAAUGUCCUAGUGGCUUAGGCCUUCCAAGAUGGACAAUGGAACAUCGGGUUUCGUCGCACAUUUGGACAAGCUGAGAUUAACGAUUGGACUAGAUUACGGGAUGCCCUCCCG
Molecule: ribosomal RNA, 405 nt
Filed under: Triticum aestivum (bread wheat)
Lineage: Eukaryota; Viridiplantae; Streptophyta; Magnoliopsida; Poales; Poaceae
Description: partial small subunit ribosomal RNA
Source: RNAcentral